AGGCAAAGGGAAAAAAAACCCAGUGCAGUCGGGCUAAGUACCAGCUGCUGGCUGCUGCCCUACAAGUUUCCCAGACCAGUCAACGGGGACCUGCAAAGAUCCCUUCAGGUCCCUGUUUUCUAGGGACUGCCAGUCCCCCAAACCACCAUCAGGGCCCUGCCCUCUGUGCAAGCAGAAGGGACACUGGAAGGUAGACUGUCCUCCCUCCUCUCAGCGUGGGAGGCCAGUCCCCUCCUCCCUUCCCACGAGGGAAUCCGGUCCGUCUCUGCCUGACCUAUUGGGCCUAGCUCCGGAAGGGUGAUGGUGCCCUGGGAUGUUGGCCCCUUUGCCCAUCACAUCAAAGGUGCCCAGGGUAACAAUCCACAUGGCAGGACCUACCUGGCUUGAGCUGACCAGGAUUGCAGAACAUCCUUCUCCCAUGGCCGAAACCUCACAAUAGACUUGGCUGCCAUGGCAAUCGUCACUGCUCCUAAAGAACCAGCACUCUGGGAGUUCCAUGUACACCAAGAAUGGCAGUGUUGGCAAAAGCAUGGCCAACUGGGGUGCCACAGGGCCUCCCGUGCUGUGCCAACUUCCCAGCCGGUGCCCACUCCCACCAAAACUUUGACCCUGAUCAGCAGGAAGUAGAUAUGGAAGAAGAGACCACUACCCCAGUUCCAUAACAAAUCAAAGGCUGGCAUGUUAGGUAUUUCAGAGCCCCCACAGAGCAAGCCCCCUCCUCUCCUUUCCCCCUGCCCCACUCCUGCCACAGGGAACUUCCACAUAACUAAGGCAUGACCUCUCUUUGUCAGUGACUCUCGGCCUAGUUAAGGACUUUCUACCCCACCGGUCUCAUGGUCAGAUAUUCCCGUAAGAUAGGGGCUUCCUGGAAACUGUUACAACACGCCCCUCCCCCAACCAAAACUUGUUGCCACAUACCCCAGCCCCAAUCACCCACCCCCACCAAUGGCCUAGUGCUCUCCCACCUGCAAAAUCCUAUAUAAGCCUCCAGCUCAGCCCAUGUAGGCUGCUGGUCUCCAUUCUGUGAGUCAGUCCAGCAGGCUGCAGACUGCUGCCCCAAUAAAGCUUGCUGCCUG
Molecule: long non-coding RNA, 1076 nt
Organism: Heterocephalus glaber (naked mole-rat)
Lineage: Eukaryota; Metazoa; Chordata; Mammalia; Rodentia; Bathyergidae
Source: Ensembl